Molecule: long non-coding RNA, 812 nt
Organism: Octopus bimaculoides (California two-spot octopus)
Lineage: Eukaryota; Metazoa; Mollusca; Cephalopoda; Octopoda; Octopodidae
Source: RefSeq, a predicted model, not a curated record
AUAUAAUCUGUCAGAGGUUUAAUUCCCAAACCGCUAACUAAGCAAUCCUGAAAUAGAACAACACAGAUGAUAGAUAGACAGACUGAACUUACCACUGACACAGCACUGAGCCAACAAUCUGACAACCAUAUCAUUAAGCUAAACUGCAACUUUUCUCAUGGAGGUCAUUAAACAAACACAGUGAACACAUGCCAGAAGAACUUGGCUCCUUCAGCAACAGAGAUUGUGAAAAUUCAGCUAGAGAGCUGAUGGGCUUAAAAUACCAACAUUACAUGAGAGCAAUCACCACCACCAUCACCACCACCACCACCACCACCAACAAUAACAACAACAGACAAUGAUGAUGAUGCCACCGUCAACAUCACCAACACCAAAACUACCGCUGCCACUACCACUGCCACCACAACCACCAAAUCUAUCAAGGCAUUUCGAUUCUUUGACUAAUGGAACUAGGAAUUUUAGGAAAAUAAAGCUUACAGAAAAUCUGACAGAAGAACGAAAAUGGAUAGCAACAGGUCACCGUGCCAAACUGUAUGUCUGAUGUCAGUAAAGAAAAUAUAUACACAUUGAACAACCUUACCAAGGACCUUAGUAUCAUAUACAGUAUGCUGCCUAAAUGGUUCUCAGAUGCUACUUCAUGUUCCAUGCCCUUUUAGUUUCGUAUGUAAAUCCCAAGUUUGGAUAUGAUAUAUGCACAUCUUUUCUCUUGGACUGAAACAAAUGAUAACAGUGAAGAAGAAAAAGGGAUGAAAGAAACUCCAUGGUUUUACAACAUAGAGAAAAAUCUUUCCGAAGAACAGAUUCUAGACAGA